GGUUAAGCGACUAAGCGUACACGGUGGAUGCCCUGGCAGUCAGAGGCGAUGAAGGACGUGCUAAUCUGCGAAAAGCGUCGGUAAGGUGAUAUGAACCGUUAUAACCGGCGAUGUCCGAAUGGGGAAACCCAGUGCAAUUCGUUGCACUAUCGUUAACUGAAUACAUAGGUUAACGAGGCGAACCGGGGGAACUGAAACAUCUAAGUACCCCGAGGAAAAGAAAUCAACCGAGAUUCCCCCAGUAGCGGCGAGCGAACGGGGAGCAGCCCAGAGUCUGAAUCAGCUUGUGUGUUAGUGGAACGGUCUGGAAAGUCCGACGGUACAGGGUGAUAGUCCCGUACACCAAAAUGCACAGGUUGUGAACUCGAAGAGUAGGGCGGGACACGUGGUAUCCUGUCUGAAUAUGGGGGGACCAUCCUCCAAGGCUAAAUACUCCUGACUGACCGAUAGUGAACCAGUACCGUGAGGGAAAGGCGAAAAGAACCCCGGCGAGGGGAGUGAAAAAGAACCUGAAACCGUGUACGUACAAGCAGUGGGAGCACCUUCGGGUGUGACUGCGUACCUUUUGUAUAAUGGGUCAGCGACUUAUAUUCUGUAGCAAGGUUAACCGUAUAGGGGAGCCGCAGGGAAACCGAGUCUUAACUGGGCGUUAAGUUGCAGGGUAUAGACCCGAAACCCGGUGAUCUAGCCAUGGGCAGGUUGAAGGUUGGGUAACACUAACUGGAGGACCGAACCGACUAAUGUUGAAAAAUUAGCGGAUGACUUGUGGCUGGGGGUGAAAGGCCAAUCAAACCGGGAGAUAGCUGGUUCUCCCCGAAAGCUAUUUAGGUAGCGCCUCGUGAACUCAUCUUCGGGGGUAGAGCACUGUUUCGGCUAGGGGGUCAUCCCGACUUACCAACCCGAUGCAAACUACGAAUACCGAAGAAUGUUAUCACGGGAGACACACGGCGGGUGCUAACGUCCGUCGUGAAGAGGGAAACAACCCAGACCGCCAGCUAAGGUCCCAAAGUCAUGGUUAAGUGGGAAACGAUGUGGGAAGGCACAGACAGCCAGGAUGUUGGCUUAGAAGCAGCCAUCAUUUAAAGAAAGCGUAAUAGCUCACUGGUCGAGUCGGCCUGCGCGGAAGAUGUAACGGGGCUAAACCAUGCACCGAAGCUGCGGCAGCGACACUAUGUGUUGUUGGGUAGGGGAGCGUUCUGUAAGCCUGCGAAGGUGUGCUGUGAGGCAUGCUGGAGGUAUCAGAAGUGCGAAUGCUGACAUAAGUAACGAUAAAGCGGGUGAAAAGCCCGCUCGCCGGAAGACCAAGGGUUCCUGUCCAACGUUAAUCGGGGCAGGGUGAGUCGACCCCUAAGGCGAGGCCGAAAGGCGUAGUCGAUGGGAAACAGGUUAAUAUUCCUGUACUUGGUGUUACUGCGAAGGGGGACGGAGAAGGCUAUGUUAGCCGGGCGACGGUUGUCCCGGUUUAAGCAUGUAGGCUGAUUAUCCAGGCAAAUCCGGAUAAUCAAGGCUGAGGUGUGAUGACGAGGCACUACGGUGCUGAAGUAACAAAUGCCCUGCUUCCAGGAAAAGCCUCUAAGCAUCAGGUAACAUCAAAUCGUACCCCAAACCGACACAGGUGGUCAGGUAGAGAAUACCAAGGCGCUUGAGAGAACUCGGGUGAAGGAACUAGGCAAAAUGGUGCCGUAACUUCGGGAGAAGGCACGCUGGUGUGUAGGUGAAGCCCCUGCGGGUGGAGCUGAGACCAGUCGAAGAUACCAGCUGGCUGCAACUGUUUAUUAAAAACACAGCACUGUGCAAACACGAAAGUGGACGUAUACGGUGUGACGCCUGCCCGGUGCCGGAAGGUUAAUUGAUGGGGUUAUCCGUAAGGAGAAGCUCUUGAUCGAAGCCCCGGUAAACGGCGGCCGUAACUAUAACGGUCCUAAGGUAGCGAAAUUCCUUGUCGGGUAAGUUCCGACCUGCACGAAUGGCGUAAUGAUGGCCAGGCUGUCUCCACCCGAGACUCAGUGAAAUUGAACUCGCUGUGAAGAUGCAGUGUACCCGCGGCAAGACGGAAAGACCCCGUGAACCUUUUUAUAGCUUGACACUGAACAUUGAGCCUUGAUGUGUAGGAUAGGUGGGAGGCUUUGAAGCGUGGACGCCAGUCUGCGUGGAGCCAACCUUGAAAUACCACCCUUUAAUGUUUGAUGUUCUAACGUUGGCCCCUGACCGGGGUUGCGGACAGUGUCUGGUGGGUAGUUUGACUGGGGCGGUCUCCUCCCAAAGCGUAACGGAGGAGCACGAAGGUUAGCUAAUCCUGGUCGGACAUCAGGAGGUUAGUGCAAUGGCAUAAGCUAGCUUGACUGCGAGCGUGACGGCGCGAGCAGGUGCGAAAGCAGGUCAUAGUGAUCCGGUGGUUCUGAAUGGAAGGGCCAUCGCUCAACGGAUAAAAGGUACUCCGGGGAUAACAGGCUGAUACCGCCCAAGAGUUCAUAUCGACGGCGGUGUUUGGCACCUCGAUGUCGGCUCAUCACAUCCUGGGGCUGAAGUAGGUCCCAAGGGUAUGGCUGUUCGCCAUUUAAAGUGGUACGCGAGCUGGGUUUAGAACGUCGUGAGACAGUUCGGUCCCUAUCUGCCGUGGGCGCUGGAGAAUUGAGGGGGCUGCUCCUAGUACGAGAGGACCGGAGUGGACGCAUCACUGGUGUUCGGGUUGUCAUGCCAAUGGCACUGCCCGGUAGCUAAAUGCGGAAGAGAUAAGUGCUGAAAGCAUCUAAGCACGAAACUUGCCCCGAGAUGAGUUCUCCCUGAGACUUUAAGUCUCCUGAAGGAACGUUAAAGACGAUGACGUUGAUAGGCCGGGUGUGUAAGCGCAGCGAUGCGUUGAGCUAACCGGUACUAAUGAACCGUGAGGCUUAACCUU
RNAcentral lists this ribosomal RNA (2899 nucleotides) under Klebsiella pneumoniae. Its description in RNAcentral is "23S ribosomal RNA". It matches the Rfam family "Bacterial large subunit ribosomal RNA". Lineage: Bacteria; Pseudomonadati; Pseudomonadota; Gammaproteobacteria; Enterobacterales; Enterobacteriaceae. The record is from RNAcentral.